UACGGGGGGGGCAAGCGUUGUUCGGAAUUACUGGGCGUAAAGGGCUCGUAGGUGGCCAACUAAGUCAGACGUGAAAUCCCUCAGCUUAACUGGGGAACUGCGUCUGAUACUGGAUGGCUUGAGUUUGGGAGAGGGAUGCGGAAUUCCAGGUGUAGCGGUGAAAUGCGUAGACAUCUGGAGGAACACCGGUGGCGAAGGCGGCAUCCUGGACCAACACUGACACUGAGGAGCGAAAGCCAGGGGAGCAAACGGG
RNAcentral lists this ribosomal RNA (253 nucleotides) under uncultured bacterium. Its description in RNAcentral is "partial 16S ribosomal RNA". It matches the Rfam family "Bacterial small subunit ribosomal RNA", at positions 524 to 776 of the family's 1533-position model. The record is from RNAcentral.